AUUGAACGCUGGCGGCAUGCCUUACACAUGCAAGUCGAACGGCAGCGCGGACUUCGGUCUGGCGGCGAGUGGCGAACGGGUGAGUAAUACAUCGGAACGUACCCUGUUGUGGGGGAUAACUAGUCGAAAGAUUAGCUAAUACCGCAUACGACCUGAGGGUGAAAGUGGGGGACCGCAAGGCCUCACGCAGCAGGAGCGGCCGAUGUCUGAUUAGCUAGUUGGUGGGGUAAAGGCCCACCAAGGCGACGAUCAGUAGCUGGUCUGAGAGGACGAUCAGCCACACUGGGACUGAGGCACGGCCCAGACUCCUACGGGAGGCAGCAGUGGGGAAUUUUGGACAAUGGGGGCAACCCUGAUCCAGCAAUGCCGCGUGCGUGAAGAAGGCCUUCGGGUUGUAAAGCACUUUUGUCCGGAAAGAAAUCGCGCUGGUUAAUACCUGGCGUGGAUGACGGUACCGGAAGAAUAAGCACCGGCUAACUACGUGCCAGCAGCCGCUGUAA
RNAcentral lists this ribosomal RNA (500 nucleotides) under uncultured bacterium. RNAcentral's name for it is "partial 16S ribosomal RNA". It matches the Rfam family "Bacterial small subunit ribosomal RNA", at positions 30 to 523 of the family's 1533-position model. The record is from RNAcentral.